This 556-nucleotide long non-coding RNA is filed under the name Mytilus galloprovincialis (Mediterranean mussel). Lineage: Eukaryota; Metazoa; Mollusca; Bivalvia; Mytilida; Mytilidae. The record is from RNAcentral.
GUUUGGUAAUCGGCAAAUGGUAACGGAAAUUCAAUGUCAAAAGAUAACGUUUCUCUCGAGAAGUAAUUCUCUAAAUACAACUUGUUAUGGAACUAACAAGCCAACAUUAUACGGAAAUAGUCUGGUUAUUUCUGGUUAUUUAAUCGCUUGGAAUUAGCGUGUGUCACUUGCCCAGGGUAAAGUCGUACUGAAGCCUUUUUGGCUUUUCUCUCCUCAGUAUUUAUACUUUGGUAAACCAUUUACCGAAAUGGUUUACCAUUUACCAUUUAGGUAAAAUACCUAAAAUACCAAAACCGGAAUUGGUAAUUACCAAAAUAAUGUUCGGAACGAUUGGUAAACGUUUAUGUACUUCAUUUGAUAUGAACAAUCGAGGGGAGUUCCGAAUAUAAAUUCAAAACAUGGACGUUAAGAAUAAUAAAAAGUUAACAAUGUUUACACAAAGUUGUACAAGAAAUAUAAAAUAAAAACAGUCAAUAAACGGUAAGGUUUUAACAACAUCAUCACACAAUUUUAGGGAAAACAAGUUCCAUUUCAAAGAACCCCCAUUUUGUUACAC